Long non-coding RNA from Phyllostomus discolor (pale spear-nosed bat), 759 nucleotides. RefSeq lists it as uncharacterized. The transcript is spliced from 2 exons. Lineage: Eukaryota; Metazoa; Chordata; Mammalia; Chiroptera; Phyllostomidae. The record is from RefSeq and is a predicted model, not a curated record.
AAGUCUCUGAAAUCCAGUGUGUAUUUUGCACUUGCAGCACCUCUAUAUUCAGAUGGCAAAUUUUCAUUAGAAAUAUUUGAAAUAUUUGGUCUGGUUUAGAUUUAAUAAAACUUACAGUUGAAAAAUAAGUUCAAGUAUGUAAUUUGUUUCAAAUAUAUUUAGAAGUUUUCCAAUAACUGGAUUGAUUAUACAUUUUUAAACUUAAUUAAAAUUAAGUGAAAUUUAAAGUUCAGUUCCUCAGUCACAUUAGCUACAUUUCAAGUACUCAGUAGCCACAUUGGCCAGUGGCUGUUGUAUUGAACAGUCUAGAGAUAGAAUUUCAACCCUUCUUCCCCCUGCUUUGUCCUACUUUUAUUAGAGGGUCUGGCUUCAGGAAAUAAUCUAAUGUGUGUUCUUCACUGCCUGACUUUGUCACCACACACUGGGAGAGCGCGGAGAGACGAGGUGACCCAGGGAGCAACAGAUGUGCUGUUUCCCAUUUCUUUCUGGGGUGGAGGUGGGGACAAUGUGAGGAUGGCCCCUUGGGGACCCUGAAGAUUGUGUAAUAAGAGUCCACAAUGUGGGUAAGCCAGAAUAACCAUAAAAUGUUAUUCUUGCUUUGGGGACUUAAAACCACUUAUGUCCUGUUGUGAAAAUCAUGGGAAAAACCAUAUUUACAUAGAGACAUUUUUGUUAAAACAAAUACAGGCCCUUGAAAAGAAUACAAGUCCUCAUUAGAUUCUCUAAAAUCAGAAAUAAAAAGAUGUCCAAUAUCUCUGA